ACCCCCAUCACCCCCAGGUCGCCCUGCAGGCACUGUGUGUUUGGACAGCUGGAAGCAGAGCUCGGCCUGUGACCUGCCUGGUCCAGCAACUGGACCUUCUGGAGGUGAGCCUGGGAGUGGCCGAGCAGAGGAAAUCACCCCCAUGGGGAGGUAGGGGAGGGGUGAGGCCCCCCCCACCAGGUUCUGGAAUGUUCCGUGGGCUGGAUCCUGGAGAACCCACUUCUCUGGGCUCCAGAAAGGCAAGGGCAAUGUUUCUUUGACCUGAGAAAGCAAAGCAGCCCCCCGACAUCCUUCCACACACUCAUCCCCUCUGGUGGGGAGCCGGGGGGACACAUAUGAGAUGGACAGGGUGGGGGCCCACACCCCAGGCUACUCGGACAGCAGGGGUCAAUCCCGACGGGCUGGAGAAACCUCAGGCCCCAAGUGCACCAAUGGCCCAGAUGGCUGGAGACCUCUUCCUUUGUCUCCUCUGUCUCCAAGAUCCAGGAGCCCAGGCUCAGCCUGCGAACCACCUGGCCCUGGCCCUGGAGGGGGAUGGGGAGGGUCUGUGACCAUCCUGGGGGGUAUCUGCGCCCCCUUCUUCUACCUGGGGACAAGGGCGCGAAGUCCCAUGCAGCCCCCAUGCAGCCUCACGUGCCUGACGAUGGGAGCCAGGCCAGCCCCUCACACGGGUGCUCCUGGGCAGCCUCUCUGGUAGCCUGGACGAGUCACCCCAGGGGCACAUGCUCCAGGCAGCCCCCUCACCUCAGGGGGCAUGGGAGGCGCUGGGGGUCUUCAGCUGGUGAUGGGGUGACUGACGAGGAUCAGCCCCAACCCCGGGGUCCUCUGGCCGCUGGCAACCGGAGCACUCCCCCAGUUGGAGCUGAACCAUGACUCCAGUCCUUCCCAAGAGAUGGUGGGGAAUCGUCACCAUGGCUGGAGUCCCGCAGACUGGGCAGGCCAGACAGGCCCUUGGAGGAGGCUGGUGGGAUCCGAGUGGGCAGAGGGGAGACGGAGGAGGGAAAGGCAGCCCCAGCCUGCGGUGGUGCUUGUCCUGGGCGGGAGGGGCCCUGCUGUCACUGACGUGGGAACCACCGAGUCACCGGAGGGGCAGGGGCAGAGGGGUCUCGGUGGAAAGGGGGUCCCCAGAGGCCUUGGGAGACGGGGGAGGUGCCUAGGGCUCUCUGGCCUUGGUCUCUACCAGCUCAACGAGGGCUUUGUUCCAGGGGCCCCUGGGUCCCUCUGCCUCCAACAAUCUGGGCUGCGUUUUCUGAGCACCUACUGUGUGCUGGGUGUGGGCGUCCGGGCAGGCACUGACUAAGCCUUGUCCCUCCCCAGAGUCACAGUGAGACACACAGCCACAUCCUGUAAAUGAAGACCUCGUGGCUCAGAGAGGUCAGGUAACUUCCCCAAAGCCUGUCUGGCCUCCCAGCACCAUCCCUAGUCCCAGAGGGGAGGUGGAAUGAAGGCAGGGCUAAGGCCAGGCUGCAUGGAGGCAGAGGCACCUGCCGGCCUGCAGGACCAAAGGUUCUAUUGGAGGCAGUGCCUGGGCAGACAAAGGCCCUCAGAUUCACAAGCUGAAGCCCUAGCACCCAGGGCCCCAGUGUGCUACUGUGUUUGGAGACAGGUAAAGGUUGUCAAGGUAAGACAGGGUGGCCCUGAUCCAAUAUGACUGGCGUCCUUGUAAGAAGAGGAGAUUGGGACAGACACGCCCCGAGGGAUGGCCAUGUGAGGGCGCCUCAGGAAGACGGUGUGCAAGAGCGGGAAGCGGGGCCUCGGAAGAGCCAGCCCUUGGAUCUCGGGCUUCCAGGAGAAUCAGUUCCUGCAGUUGAAGCCACCAGGGUCUGUGCAACUUUGUCACAGCUGCCCGAGCUGACAAAUUCACCUGACUUAAGCCCCCCGCCCCACCCGACCACAGUGUCACCCAGAUGCUUGGCAGGUGCUGUGGCAGGGGCUGGGUCCCUGCUCGACCUUCGGGUGCCGGGGUGUCCCGUAUAAGAGCAGCACAGCCACCGCCACGGCCACUCGCAGUUCCAGGCUCCGGGCAGCAUCUGGGACCCCAGUUCCUGUUGUGAGAGGCUCCCCACUGCCAUCCCACCCCCUGCAAGGUGCCUCGGAGAGCGGCUGGAGGCUGACGGGUCGAGGCCUGGGUUUUACGGUCCUGCCUGGGUUUCUGUGUGGCCUGGGGCUGCCUACCAUCUUUCCCUCUCUGGUCCCCCCUACUCUCAUAUACCAGGCUGGGUGACUGGGGCCCAGGAGCGGCCCCCCCCUCCUCUGGGCUUCCUGGUGGCACCCCUGGCCUGACAGCCCCUGGGAAGGCCUCCCCUCUCCAUCUCGGGGCCCAGCCCGGCCCCACCUGCUGAGCUGCAGCCUCCAAGGCCUCCUUCGCACGCGUGUCAGCUCUGACCUCAGGGCUCCCCACGCGUGUUCCCCUCUAGGAAGGCCCCCCCAGGGGCUCCCCAAAAUCCUGUCCUCCCUGAAGCACCUGUUCUUCGUGCUCCUCCAUGAGGGCCCGCACGGGGCCGCUGACCGCAGUCUCAGUCACAGCCUGGGAGCGCCUGGAGGUUGGGGGGCAGCAGGCGCUCAGUCAGUCCUCGGGUCACCAUGGAUGGCCUUGCUGUGUGAUCCACACUGAGGCCCAGUGGUCAGCUGGGGGGCUGGACAGGAGGCAGCCACUUCCUGGCCUGGCUGGUGACUCACAGGCCCGUUUCUGGGAAAACUCCCACCCACCCCCACUCAAUCCGGAUGGCGCAGAGCUCGCUGUGGGGACCAGCUGUGGGAAGUGCAUUGUGAUUAGGGGCCGGGUCUGGGGGUGGGGAAGGCGGGAGCCGGGGCGGAGGGUGGGGUGGGGUGUGGGACGUCUCCACCAGAGGCCUGCCUGGGCUGCUGAGCUGUGCAUCCCGUGUGCCCUGACGCUCCACAUGCUCCCUCACCGGGCAGGGGUCGGGGGCCCCGAAUAUCAUCACAGGGAGACCACACGAGGCUCCUGCCUGAACCCCUCCUCAGGUCCCUCACGCUCAGGGGUGCCUGGCCCAGCCUCGCCUUGCCCAGCCUUGCCAAGGCCAGCACAGCCCAGGAGUAAGCCAGAGAAAAGAAAAUGCCAUUCGGAAAAUCCUAAGGAAGAGAGGAUGCAUUUCCUCGUCUCCACGUGGAAGCGGAUCACCCUAAAGGUCUUCAUCCUGGUCUUUUUCAUGCUGAGGAGGCUGGGGAGGAGAAGGAAGAGGAGGGGCUGGUCUUGCUGACCCAGGAGCAGCAGAGAAAGGAGAAAAUCCACGUGCAGGGGCUGGCCAGCGCUGGGCUUCUCGGGAAUGGAAUCACACACGGACUGUGGCGUACACAUCACAACUUUAAACCCCGUCCGUACUGAAGCCUGCGUCCGAAUUUCUUCUGUUUUUGUGGCGGAAGGAUAAAUAUUCCAUUGUA
Molecule: long non-coding RNA, 3402 nt
Organism: Homo sapiens (human)
Lineage: Eukaryota; Metazoa; Chordata; Mammalia; Primates; Hominidae
Product: long intergenic non-protein coding RNA 1451
Source: Ensembl